AGGAAUUUAGAAAGGAAGCUUUCCUUUGAAUAAUUUUUAAGUUGGAGUUUCAAAGAGUAUAUCCUUAACUAGGCUCAAAGAUGUGAGGGCUUAAAGCCUCCAAGGGGGUCCUUGCACACAGAAAAGGAGCUUUAAAAAUCCAGUUUCAUUUCUUUAGUUUCAUGUACUUUUCAGGCCAAGAAAGCAGAGGCAAACAUAUAUUUAUGUAUAUAUUAUUAUAUAUAAAGACUUAUUUUAUUUGAGAGAGAGUAGGGGCAAGGGGAGAGGAAGAGGUAGACUCCUCACUGAGUGCAGAGCCUGAUGAGGGGCUCCGAUCUCACAAACUUGAGAUCGUGACCUGAAUGGAAACAGAGAGUCCGAUGCUUAAUCGACUGAGCCACCCAACACCUAGUCUUUUUUAAAUAUAUGUUUGCCUCUGCUCUCCUAGCAUAACCUCUCUGGAAGUUCGUGAGUUUCAAAACCUGUAUGUCUGUACGUAGAAAAGAAGACUACCAGAUAAAUGCUGAGAAAUUUAGCAGAGGUUUUAGAAUUACUGGUAUUUUUUUGUGAUUUGCCUAUUUAUUUCCCAAGCAAAUAUGUGUUAUUUUAUUCAUCACUAUAUUAUUAAAUAUAGUGACUAUAAAACAAAACUUUGUAUCAUUUUUUGUUUCAGAUUCUCCUGCCUAGGUCCUACUUCUGGGUAUAAAGGACCUGUCCAAAGAUGUUUCUUAGGUUUGUUUUCCACUGCAGUCUAUGGUAGCCUACAAUUAGGAGGACUCGGCUGUAGUUAGCAUAUCAUGAUCAGUAGCUUCAUGGAUUUUGAUUGAAAGUGGCUGGACUACAAACCUAUCUUUGGGUAUAUGUAGGACUGCUAAAAUUAAGCACCAACUCCCAGCUACUGAUAUGAGGAUUAAGUGGGUUGAGUAUGAGUUUCCCUUUGUUGAAGGUAAGUGUGCCCAUUCCUUUACUAGGAAACCACUGCAGAUGCGUUUAUGCAAGAUAACUCCCUCUAGAAAAAUCAUUGUCAAGGACUGGGAAUAAAACGUUGGAGAACUGCUCUUAAUAGGAGCAGAAGGACAUCCUAGGGACAUCUGGUGGUAGAGGCUUGUUCAAAAGCCAUAUAAAAUAAGAUUAGGACUUUUGGGAGAAAUAGAUUGCCGUAAAGCACACUAAUGUAGACAAUUCUGGGUGAUGGUCAAGCCCAGUGAACAGAUGUAGGCCUUGGCUUGCUUUGCCUAAUCACAAUAAACUUAAGGUUGUAACCCCUUCCUGUUCCCCUCCCCCAUUAAAUCAUCAAAGGGGAUGGGGACAAUACAGCUCAUUGGGAGGAUAAUUUACCCUCUUUUGUUUUAGUAUGAAUAUUUAGGCGUCGGUCCUUGCAUGUGAUUGCUUAAUGUCUCCAGAGUUGUUGAACUUGUUCUACUUGGUCUCAGCUCUUUGCCUGCAGAUACUCAAACAAUGUGUAUUCUUCUCUAGGAUCUACGUCCUUGCUAUUACCAAGUACUCAAAAAGCGAUCACUUCCUCCCUGUACCCGUAUAUGCACAGCUUUGUAAAGAGAAUGCUGGAGAGAUUGAUGUUUGGGAAUUAGCCAAUAGGAUGAAGAGUCCAAUCUUAAUUUUUCAAGGUAGAAAGUCAGCAGAUAUUUUCUUUUUUUCUUUCAUUAUAAAAACCUGGGGAAAUUUAUUUAUAUAAUCAUAUGUAUAGUUUGGUACACUAUUUCUUCUUCUUUUUUCUUUUUUUUUUUAGUUUCAGAAUUUAGUGAUACAUCAAUCUUAUAUAAUACCCAGUGCCCAUUACAUCACGUGCCCUUAGUACCCAUCACCCAGUUACUCUAUCCCCUCACCUACUUCCUCUCCAGCAACCCUCAGUUUGCUUCCUAGAAUUCAGCAUCUUUUAUGGUUUGCCUUCCUCUCAAUUUUCAUCUUAUUUUAUUUUUUUUCCCUUCCCUUAAGUUUAUCUGUUUUGUUUCUUAUAUUCUACAUAUGAGUGAAAUCAUCUGGUAUUUGUCUUUUUUGACUGACCUAUUUCUUUUAGCAUAAUACCCUGUAGUUCCAUCCAGAUUGUUGUAAAUGGCAAGAUUUCAUUAUUUUUGAUGGCUGAGUAAUAUUUGUGUGUGUGUGUGUGUGUGUGUGUGUGUGUGUGUGUGUACACAACAUCUUUUUUAUCCAUUCAUCUGUCUAUGGACAUCAGGGCUCUUUCCAUAGUUUAGCUAUUGUGGACAUUGCUGCAAUAAACGUUGGGGUACAGGUGCCCCUUCGAAUCACUAUGUUUGUUUCCUUUGGAAAAAUACCUACUAGUGCAAUUGCUGGGUCAUAGGGUAGCUCUAUUUUCAACUUUUUGAGGAACCUCCAUACUGUUUUCCAGAGUGGCUGCACCAGCUUGCAUUCCCACCAACGGUGUGGAAGGGUUCCCCUUUCUCCACAUCCUCACCAGCAUCUGUCAUUUCCUGACUUGUUGAUUUUAGCCAUUCUCACUGGUGUGAGGUGGUAUCUCAUUGUGCUUUUGAUUUAUAUUUGUAUUUGUAUUUUAUUUGUAUUUCCCUGAUGCUAAGUGAUGUUGAGCAUUUUUUUAUGUGUCUGUUCCCCAUUUGUGUAUCUUCUGAGCAUUUCUUGACUGGAUUUUUUCUUUUAUGGGAGUUGAGUUUGAUAAGUUCUUUAUACAUUUUGGAUACUAGCCCUUUAUCUGAUAAAACAUUUGCAAGUGGAAGAACUGUAAACAAAUCUUGGAAUUUUGCUAAAAGAUUGGUUUUUCACAGUGAUAUGGGUGCUACAAUUCUGAAGCUAUUGAAGGAUGGAGCAAAUUGGGCAAAUGAGUAAAUGAUGAUUCUCACUGUGAUGAGGGAGCAGAAGCCUGGCUGAGGACAAAGCUGGCACCUUACACCCCCUCUCCCCCCACCUCUGUGACAUGUGUGACAUCCCUCAGGCACUUCUACUGCUCUAAAAAGAAAAACGAAUAGUUAACUUGCAGAGAUCACAAUCCUGCAAGACGGGAGUCUCCCUUGGUUUACAAAUGUCCUAGUGAUUUACAACAAAGAAGCUAUCUUAUUGAUAGCCCAACUUCCAGAGAUAAGCAACUCAGUUCCUAAAGCCCUAACAUCGGCCUCCCCUCCAUAAAACUGAAAGAGGCUGAGGCCGAAGGAAAUGUAAAUAAAGUUAAAUUUCUUCUAAACCUAAAGAUCAUUGACAAGGAUGUGGGAUAGGAGGAAUGUGACAUUGCACCAGGAAACUCCCAACUGUCUUCAUGUUAUUGCCUCAUUAGAGGGAAAAACAGCUUUGGCUUGACAAUAACCAGGCCUUCAGUAUCUUGACAGUCUUCUUUACCGUGACAGCCCUUCUGAACAACCCCUUUGUCCUCACCUACCCAACUCCUGUGUAUACAAUCAGCCACUCCUCAGGAUAUCAGGGCAGCAGCUCUUCUUACCCACGGGUCCUGUCCCCGUACUUUAAUAAACCACCAUUUUACACCAAA
Mustela lutreola (European mink) is the source of this 3448-nucleotide long non-coding RNA. RefSeq lists it as uncharacterized. The record is from RefSeq and is a predicted model, not a curated record. The transcript is spliced from 2 exons. Lineage: Eukaryota; Metazoa; Chordata; Mammalia; Carnivora; Mustelidae.